CGGAAAUUUCCGUCUAGAAUGUAUCCUAGACUUAAAUUUCUGUCUAGGAUACGAUAUCCAUUUUUAAAAAAAUUUAACCCACCAAAAUUUCACCGCCCCCUUUUUCCCCCAAAAUUUUGUCGCUCAUCUUUCCCCCAACAUCGAAAUUUUAUUCUAAAGAAGCAUAAAUCGAGCGGGCCAUCUCCACCCCCUCCUCUCUCCUCGGCCGCUCCGCACACGCCGUCGCUCUCAAGUCCCUCUUCCCCUGCCUCCUCCCGUCCUUCCUCUCGACCAGCAACCUCAUCAACUUCUACUCGAAGCUCGACCUCCCCCUCCCCGCCCUCCGCCUCCUCUCCCUCGAGCCCUCCCCCUCCGUCCCCUACUUCACCGCCCUCAUCUCCGGCGCCUCCCAGAACUCCAGCCCCCUCCUCUCCCUCUCCGUCUUCCGCUCCAUGCUCCGCUCCCUCGCCCGCCCCUACGACUUCACUCUCCCCUCCACCCUCAAGGCCUCUGCUUCCCUCCCCGACCCCCUCGUCGCCUCCCAGAUCCACUGCCUCAUCCUCGACGUCUACGUCGCCUUCGCCAUCGAGGACAUGUACUUCAAGUUCGGGCUCCCCCUGGAUGCCAGGAGGGUGUUCGACGAAAUGCCUCUUAACAUUUAGGUUCUAACAUUUAGGUUCUAACUAUACUUCGCAGUUGACAGCAAACUCCAAUAUGUUGAUUAUGGCUUUUAUUUUAACAAUUAGAAUCGAAGUAUGAGUUUGACUCAAAGUGAUUUGCCACCUCAGAAAGUGCCACAUGUUCCUAAACCUAGUCCUGCUCCAACUGAAAUGGUGGAUCAUGAGGAUAGGACAGUAUUCAGAUGUUUAUCUUGCUUCAGCUUUUUCAUUCCAACAGGUAUAUAUAUGUCCCCUUGAUUUUGUUAUCUUAGUGGUUCAAACAGAAGGGUAUACUUCACACUUAAUAGAUAGACUCUUUUCAUAUGUGACCAGAAGCUUAUUUUACCUUUGACUUGACUGCCAAUUCUCGUACAUGAAUGGGCUUAUAUGGAAACUAUUGUGCAUUAUGUUUCCUACUUGUCUAUGUCGACGUUGAUAGUAGCAAACACCUGUUGAGAUAUAUCAGCUGGCUUAGGUUUCUAGCAAAGACCUUCAAAGUCGAGAAAAGAAACCUGCAAAGAGGGGUAACUAGAUUUCUUCUCUUUUUGGAUCUGGUUCAAGCAACAAUGAAGGUACCAAAGCCAAAAUUAAAACAGAUUCUAGAGAUUCAUCUGAAUCCAUGCCGGGAGCUGCAAAUCUUGGAGAAAAAGGAACCACUAUAGGUCCAUCAACCGAAGAAUUCAAUUCUAGUGGUGGAUUAAUGGGAAAUCACGCUCAAGAAGGCAAGAAAAAUUAUCCAGCAACUAUAUUGGAAAGUAUGCAAGGAUAAAGUUCAAUACUGAAGUAUGCAAGAGGUUGAUACACAGAAGUGUCCGUGUAAGAUUGUUAUACAGAGGUUGAUACACAGAAUGGUUAUAGCCAAUGAUGAAGAAGGUGAAGAAGGAGAAGAAGAGGGCUUGAGUAAAUGUAUAGGGAAGGAGGUGAACAAGCUUCUGCAGUGUCAUAGCCAUUGUAAAUAAUUUAUGUAAAAGUUUGUAAAUAAUUUAUGUAUCUCUCUACUAUUUUGGUGAAUGUAUUAUUUGACUAUAAUUGGAUUUGAUAUUGGAAUAUAA
Long non-coding RNA from Asparagus officinalis (garden asparagus), 1690 nucleotides. RefSeq lists it as uncharacterized. Lineage: Eukaryota; Viridiplantae; Streptophyta; Magnoliopsida; Asparagales; Asparagaceae. The record is from RefSeq and is a predicted model, not a curated record. The transcript has 4 exons.